GACGAACGCUGGCGGCGUGCUUAACACAUGCAAGUCGAACGCUGAAGCUUGGUGCUUGCACUGGGUGGAUGAGUGGCGAACGGGUGAGUAAUACGUGAGUAACCUGCCCUUGACUCUGGGAUAAGCCUGGGAAACUGGGUCUAAUACUGGAUAUGACAUGUCACCGCAUGGUGGCGUGUGGAAAGGGUUUUACUGGUUUUGGAUGGGCUCACGGCCUAUCAGCUUGUUGGUGGGGUAAUGACUCACCAAGGCGACGACGGGUAGCCGGCCUGAGAGGGUGACCGGCCACACUGGGACUGAGACACGGCCCAGACUCCUACGGGAGGCAGCAGUGGGGAAUAUUGCACAAUGGGCGAAAGCCUGAUGCAGCGACGCCGCGUGAGGGAUGACGGCCUUCGGGUUGUAAACCUCUUCAGCACGGAAAGAAAGCGAAAAGUGAACGGUAACGUGCAGAAGAA
Molecule: ribosomal RNA, 458 nt
Filed under: Kocuria sp. oral taxon B56
Lineage: Bacteria; Bacillati; Actinomycetota; Actinomycetes; Micrococcales; Micrococcaceae
Description: bacterial SSU rRNA
Rfam family: Bacterial small subunit ribosomal RNA
Source: RNAcentral